AUUUGUUGUUGUUCUGAGCUAGUGUGCUUGCUGGCAUGGGGGUAUGCAUAUUGCAGAUUUAACUAACAAAACUCAAGGCUUUUGAUGAACUGACGUCGGUCAAUUGUUUCACACUCCAGUAGCUAGCUGGUGGGAGACACCUCGAUUGGAGACAUCAAAUAAUAGAUAUAUGUGUAUUUGUGACUAACAGUUAGCCAACAAGGGUUUAACAACAUUACAGAAACAGUAGAAGUACAUAUGCAGAGCAGAGGGAGCUAGCUAGCUAGCUGCCUGAGCUGCACCGGCAUGCGUGGUGCAGCCUGUAGCCUUCUAAUUUGCAACCAUGCAAUUGGAGAUGACUUCUGAAUUUUGAAUUUGUUUUGUUUCAGGAGAUUGAGAAGUCAGACAUCUGGAUUUUGGUGUAGAACACAUGUUAUGCUCUGGGCAUAUGAAGUUCCAAGGGCAAGAAACAGUAUAACUGGAGGCAAGAGAAGAACUUUCUGUCAUAUACCAUCAGGAUAGCAAAGCUGAUACAAUUUUUUAAAGCAAUGAUUGUUCAGUGUGAUCCUUAAGUCCUUCACACUCAUUCUUACCGGCCAUGCACUAGAAAUGAUCAUGUCAUCUUAUGUAUCACUUCAUAUGUAUGUAUGUCUCUCGUGGGUGCGCCAGAUUGACAAAUAUGUGUGCCCGGGAAGGGUCUAGUUUGACGUGUACUCGAAUAUUUGUGCAACUAAUGGUCUAGCUUGACAUGUACUUAAAUAAUUCCAAUAUUUGUGCCUGGAAUUGUCCAGUCUAACAUGUGCCUGAAAUGGUCUAGCUUGACUUAAUUUUCUCAUCUUCA
Molecule: non-coding RNA, 820 nt
Organism: Aegilops tauschii subsp. strangulata
Lineage: Eukaryota; Viridiplantae; Streptophyta; Magnoliopsida; Poales; Poaceae
Source: RefSeq, a predicted model, not a curated record